GACGAACGCUGGCGGCGUGCCUAACACAUGCAAGUUGAGCGACGAACCAGGGCUUGCCCUGGGGCAAAGCAGCGAACGGGUGAGUAACACGUGGGUAACCUGCCCCGAUGACCGGGACAACCCGAGGAAACUCGGGCUAAUACCGGAUGUGUCCCCUGGACCCAAGUCCAGUGGGCAAAGGAAGCUUCGGCCUCCACAUUGGGAGGGGCCCGCGGCCCAUUAGCUUGUUGGUGAGGUAAGAGCUCACCAAGGCAACGAUGGGUAGCUGGUCUGAGAGGACGAUCAGCCACACUGGGACUGAGACACGGCCCAGACUCCUACGGGAGGCAGCAGUGGGGAAUCUUGCGCAAUGCGCGAAAGCGUGACGCAGCAACGCCGCGUGGGGGAAGAAGGCCUUCGGGUUGUAAACCCCUUUCAGGAGGGACGAGGGUGCGGCCGUGAACAGCGGUCCGCACUGACGGUACCUCCAGAAGAAGCCCCGGCUAACUACGUGCCAGCCGCCGCAGUAA
This 509-nucleotide ribosomal RNA is filed under the name uncultured bacterium. RNAcentral's name for it is "partial 16S ribosomal RNA". It matches the Rfam family "Bacterial small subunit ribosomal RNA", at positions 28 to 523 of the family's 1533-position model. The record is from RNAcentral.